GCCAGCCCAUCUUUGCGUGUCUUGGAGUCGGGUUGUUUGGGAUCGCAGCCCAAAGYAGGUGGUAAACUUCAUCUAAGACUGAAUAUGACUACGAGUCCGAUAGCGAACAAGUACCGUGAGGGAAAGUUGCAAAGCACUUUGAAGAGAGAGUUAAAGAGGACGUGAAACCGAUGAGGUGGAAACGGACAGAGCUGGCGUAUCUGGCCUGUAUUCAGCCGUGCGUCCGUUGGCGUCAGGGAUGCCGCUCUCCAGAUUGGGACGGUGGCCUGUCUGCUGGCGGAUGUGUGGUGCAUUUGCAGGUGGAGUGCGCUGAGGCRCUCGGGUCAGCGGCAUGAGCUCAGUGUUGAGGCCAGCCCCUCACGGGGUCUGGUACCCGCAUUGUGGGGAGUGCUGUUUGUCCUGGGUGUGUGGAGGGCAAUGGUUUCGGGUUCGUGUGGGUGCCGAGCUGGCAGUCGGUGGCGGUCGCGUGCGACACGUGCCAGCGGUCAGUUCGGUCCUGCUCGAGCUCUCAUCUGCUCGUCCUCGGUGUAAAAGCCGGUCAUCUGUCCGACCCGUCUUGAAAC
Molecule: ribosomal RNA, 563 nt
Filed under: Rotylenchus uniformis
Lineage: Eukaryota; Metazoa; Nematoda; Chromadorea; Rhabditida; Hoplolaimidae
Description: LSU rRNA
Rfam family: Eukaryotic large subunit ribosomal RNA
Source: RNAcentral